Molecule: ribosomal RNA, 446 nt
Filed under: uncultured bacterium
Lineage: Bacteria
Description: bacterial SSU rRNA
Rfam family: Bacterial small subunit ribosomal RNA
Source: RNAcentral
GGCCAGACUCCUACGGGAGGCAGCAGUGGGGAAUAUUGCACAAUGGGGGGAACCCUGAUGCAGCGACGCCGCGUGAGUGAAGAAGUAUCUCGGUACGUAAAGCUCUAUCAGCAGGGAAGAAAAUGACGGUACCUGACUAAGAAGCCCCGGCUAACUACGUGCCAGCAGCCGCGGUAAUACGUAGGGGGCAAGCGUUAUCCGGAUUUACUGGGUGUAAAGGGAGCGUAGACGGCGAUGCAAGCCAGAUGUGAAAGCCCGGGGCUCAACCCCGGGACUGCAUUUGGAACUGUGUGGCUGGAGUGUCGGAGAGGCAGGCGGAAUUCCUAGUGUAGCGGUGAAAUGCGUAGAUAUUAGGAGGAACACCAGUGGCGAAGGCGGCCUGCUGGACGAUGACUGACGUUGAGGCCCGAAAGCGUGGGGAGCAAACAGGAUUAGAUACCCCCGUA